Molecule: ribosomal RNA, 397 nt
Filed under: uncultured bacterium
Lineage: Bacteria
Description: partial 16S ribosomal RNA
Rfam family: Bacterial small subunit ribosomal RNA
Source: RNAcentral
AAUAUUGCACAAUGGGGGAAACCCUGAUGCAGCGACGCCGCGUGAGCGAAGAAGGCCUUCGGGUCGUAAAGCUCUGUCCUAAGGGAAGAAACGGACGGUACCUUAGGAGGAAGCCCCGGCUAACUACGUGCCAGCAGCCGCGGUAAUACGUAGGGGGCAAGCGUUGUCCGGAAUUAUUGGGCGUAAAGGGUGCGUAGGCGGCCUUUUAAGUCAGAUGUGAAAGCCCACGGCUUAACCGUGGGACUGCAUUUGAAACUGGAGGGCUUGAGUAUCGGAGAGGGUAGUGGAAUUCCCAGUGUAGCGGUGAAAUGCGUAGAUAUAGGAAGGAACACCAGUGGCGAAGGCGACUUUCUGGACUGUAACUGACGCUGAGGUACGAAAGCGUGGGUAGCGAACA